RNAcentral lists this ribosomal RNA (491 nucleotides) under uncultured bacterium. Its description in RNAcentral is "partial 16S ribosomal RNA". It matches the Rfam family "Bacterial small subunit ribosomal RNA", at positions 29 to 507 of the family's 1533-position model. The record is from RNAcentral.
AGUGAACGCUGGCGGUAGGCCUAACACAUGCAAGUCGAACGGCAGCACAGUAAGAGCUUGCUCUUACGGGUGGCGAGUGGCGGACGGGUGAGGAAUACAUCGGAAUCUACUUUUUCGUGGGGGAUAACGUAGGGAAACUUACGCUAAUACCGCAUACGACCUACGGGUGAAAGCAGGGGAUCUUCGCACCUUGCGCGAUUGAUUGAGCCGAUGUCGGAUUAGCUAGUUGGCGGGGUAAAGGCCCACCAAGGCGACGAUCCGUAGCUGGUCUGAGAGGAUGAUCAGCCACACUGGAACUGAGACACGGUCCAGACUCCUACGGGAGGCAGCAGUGGGGAAUAUUGGACAAUGGGCGCAAGCCUGAUCCAGCCAUACCGCGUGGGUGAAGAAGGCCUUCGGGUUGUAAAGCCCUUUUGUGGGAAAGAAAAGCAGCAGGUUAAUACCCCGCUGUUCUGACGGUACCCAAAGAAUAAGCACCGGCUAACUUCGUG